Poecilia latipinna (sailfin molly) is the source of this 4024-nucleotide long non-coding RNA. RefSeq lists it as uncharacterized. The record is from RefSeq and is a predicted model, not a curated record. The transcript is spliced from 3 exons. NCBI's taxonomy places the organism in Eukaryota, Metazoa, Chordata, Actinopteri, Cyprinodontiformes, Poeciliidae.
AAAAACUCAAAAAACGAAAUAAUAUAGAAGGGAAUCCCACAGAUCUUCAUUUCUACAUCACGAAGCACAUUACUCACAUUUUCCUUUGUAUUAUUAUUAUUAUUAUUAUUAUUAUUAUUAUUAUUAUUAUAUAAAUAGUAGAAAAUGAGGUACGUUGCGGCUACAGUCCAUCGCCGAACCGAGGCACCAGUUGCGCGUAACGGGGCUUAACGCCUGCGAGUGGCCCUUCUUUUACCAGGGGGCCGAGCGCGCCGCAGCAGAUGCGCACUGAUCUCCGGACAGGAGCCAGUCCAUCUGGCGCCUGACGAGGCAGGGAAAGGCCCGAAUCCCGCUCGGUAGUUCAGCCCAGAGGCGAGAAUUUAGAUCAGCCCCGAGGUUUUCUGGAUGGACCGACUGGGAGCGAUGGGGGGCGGCGGGGUGCGUGGAGGGGGCCCGUCAUCCUUAAGGGCCAACAGGAAGUAAUAAUAACUUCACGGUUGGGAUUUGAACGCGUGUGUGACCUAAUAUUGUAAUUUCUCAUCAAUAUUCCGAAAAAUCCAGGCUGUCUAAUGGUGUCCGUUUUAUUUAUUUCAGUUAUUAUUGUUAUUGUUUUUACUUUUUGGCGCGUAUCUCUCAUCCAUUCAAAAAACGAAAAUCAGUUGCGAAUUUAUCAGACCCAUGACGUCUUUUUUAAACUUUUCAUCUACAAUGUUACCUUGUUUUGACAGAAAACAACAUCAUCGCCUCUAUUCCCCUGGAUAAAAUCAUGUUAUUGUUUAUUAAUGAAUUAGUUUUUAGAUAGUUUAACAAACUGGACGUAUUUCAUUUCACCAGCAUCUGCAUAAAACGUCAUAAUAAGCUCCCCAAAAUACCAUGAAACCACAUGACGUUUGGAAACAUCCCUGAUUUCUCAGCAUUUCUGACCAUAUUUCGUUUUAAAAAUAGAAAAGCAACAAUAAUACUCAUUGAAAUUCAGUCUACGUGUCUCUGAAAGCUUCCACUGGACGUAUUUUACGUAGUUUAUUCCAGUAACUCUGUUCAAAAUGUUUUGUUUUCUUUAACCAGUUUUCUUUAAGUUAAACUCAGUUAAACUGAUUAACCACACCCACAUUUUCCAGUAUUACAUCAGUAGACAUCUUCAACAACCAUUUCCCGUUGUUUAGACGGAAGUAGGCGUUUUUUCUGUCUGCUGAACGGAAGUGAUGACGCUAAUCUCAUUAGAGACUAUUUCUAAUUGUUUUUAGUUAUUUCAUUUAAAGACCACCUGUAUAAAACACCACAAGGCUUAGAAGAGGCAGAGAAAACACCAGGAGAUCACGAUGAUCAGACCGGAUUGGUGUAAACGGUUUAAUACAGAGCCACAACUUAUCCAUAAUAGAUCACUACAUAGCCUGCAGUCAUUUAAUCCAGCCUAUUACUGCCGUGUAAUCCCCUUUACAGGCGAGGCUUUAACACAACUUUCAGCACAUUGUGUCAGAUUCUAACACUUAGAUCAACUCAGGAUACAUUCAAAGGUUAGACGGAUCCAUGCUGCGUUUAAAAAUGCCCUGAAACCUCAAAAUGCUGCUUAUAAUCAAAAGUAAAAACAAACAAAAAACACCAAAACAAGCCAUGUUUCAGUUUGCGAGCAGGAAGAGAAAGAAAGUCAAAAACAUUCCCAGCCUGCUUCCAGUGUGAGCGCACAUGUGUUGGCCUGGUUUAUGGGUCAGUUUGGGCUCUAAUGAACCCGGUCAGACUCCGGCCGGCCUCAUAUGGCCACCAGCGUCCGUUGAGUCGGUGCGUCUGCACCUUUUUCCAGCCAAAAUAACGUCUGACACAAUAAAAGCGCAACGCAAAACAAACGGCGCGGAGCCUGUUGGCCAAAGAAAAAGAAAAAAAAAAGUAAUUAAGAAAAACUGUCUGACCUACAUAAAGGAAGCGCCUCGGAAGGAAGCGCAGGUUAAUAUGCUAAUAUGGAUCUGCUAAUUGUGGGGAUUUACUGUGUCGUUUCGGCGGAGGGGAGGAGGCGCGGGGGGCGUCGCUGCCUCGGUUAAGCCUUCAAGAUCUGCAGCAAAUUAAUUUCUUUUCAUGGGGCGAGGAGAGCAGAAGAGGCAGGAAACAGGUGUUGAAGGAGGAACAGACCGCUGAAGGGUCCAGGGGCGUUUCCAGAAAGUUUGGUCAGGGUGGCCAGAAAGGAAACACUGAACUCUGAAAUGUAGGUCUGUAGAAAAAAUAACAACAAAAAACCCAAAACAGAUCAAACCAAUAAAAAAAAUCCCUAAAAAAAAUGCAAUCAGGUCGUUUAAAAUCGGUAUUUCACAUGUUCACGCCUUAGUUUUUUAGCUUCUGCAACAUUUUGAAAGACUUUCCCUCUGAUAGCUUCCUAAAAAAACAAAAACAAUAAAGGUACAUUAAAAUGAACAAAUGAUCUUUUUUGAGAAAAUGUGUGACAAGAAUAAAAAAUAAAGAACAUUACAAAGCUGACUUGCCUUAGAAAUGAGUUAAGUUUAAAAAACAUUAACGAUUUAAUGGAUGUGAUACUGUAAAAGCAUAAAUAAAUAAGUUAGGGCAACCUUUUAAAACAUCUCUUAUGUACUAAAUUGUAGCUUAAUAUAAUAGCUAAAGACAGUUAAGUCCAUGUCAUUCAAGUUGUAGCAAAAACUUUUAUUAAGUUGAGCUCCACAGUUAAAGUUGAUACAAAUUAAUUGAGUUAAAGCAACAAGUGAAGUUGAGUCAGAAAAUAUGUUUUUACAGCUCAGUCCAUUUAUGGGAUACUAACUAACUAACUAACUAACUAACUAACUAACUAACUAACUAACUAACUAACUAACUAACUAACUAGUUAAAAGUCAAUAAGCUAGUUUUUAUCUUAUUUCAGGCUUCAAAUUCAUACAAAAACAACACAAACUCUCCAAAUAAUGGAAAGACAAAUACCAAAUAAUAAAUUAAUGCUUAUUACAUAUUCAGAAAUAAUAACAUACUUAUGAGGCAGGUAGUAGCCAGACUGUUUUCAAUACAUGAAAUAAAUACAAAAGGAAGAACAAAAAAAUCAUUGAAGCUCACAUUUUGCUCUUUUAAAUUUGCAUCAAAAUGAACAUUCAGUGCUGCCCCCUGUUGGUGGCGCCAUUGCUCAUGUUAAAUCUGCGUUAUUGUUAAUUUCUGUCCCUAAUUUCUCUUAAUAUCACAUUAUCGCCCAUGUUAAUCUCCUGUCAGCUGCACAUGGUAUAUUAUAUUAAUAAUCACGUGACCUGGGGUACCCCCCCACCCCCCUCCCUCCUCUUUACAACCACCAGUCAGGACUUUUUGUUUACUUCACGGACCCUCCAGAAAACAGGGACAACACGCGUCCUUUGGUUACCUGCAACAACCGAGUAUCAUUGCCGGUCUGUGUUGCCAAUUAGCGCGUUUAAUUGUUGCUUCUUUGUUGCCGUAAUUACUCGGGAAGUCAGCGGAGAGGUUGAAUCCAGGUCAAACACGUGUCAUCUGCUGCGAAUAAACAGAAGAAAGAAAAGGCCAAUCUGCUCCCAACUGACAUGGCGAUGUUUCUUCAGUUUUUUUCUCGCUUGUUCUUCUCGUCCCUGCCAGCAGAGGGCGCCACUUGGGCCAUGCAGCCCGAGGGGAGAUUAACACUCUGGUCUCUGUGAAAACACACACACACACAAGCAUCUUCUCCCACGUUCAGACCCAUGGUUCUGUGAGGAAUGACAGGGCAGACAGAGUCAAACCUUCUUGCUACGAGCUCUGUUGUUUCAUCUGUUGAGAGAAUGUCCCCAGGAAGUGGACGGACGUUUCAGAACCAGAGACAGAAAUAUGAAAUGUUAACAAGGCGCCAGAUGAAGGCCUGCAGGCGCCAAACUCUGACCGUUCCUGUUGGUGUACAGUGGAAAUGUAACUUAAACUGUAUGUGUACAAGUAUUGAAUAACUUCAUAACAAAAUACAAUAUUAAAGUCUGAUUUAAAUGCUGUGUGAGAUAAAUGUACAAAUUAUCACCAAAGGUUUGUCUGAAAUUGAAAGAUGUUUUCAUGUGAAUCAUUCAGCAAAUAAAAUACAUCUUGAAAACUGAAA